This 240-nucleotide unclassified non-coding RNA is filed under the name soil metagenome. Its description in RNAcentral is "partial contains 5.8S ribosomal RNA, internal transcribed spacer 2, and large subunit ribosomal RNA". The record is from RNAcentral.
AACGGUCUAUACCUGCGGUACCUGCGGAGGGAUCAUUACCGAGUUAUCAACUCCCAAACCCCUGUGAACAUACCCGAACGUUGCCUCGGCGGGACCGCCCCGGCGCCCCUAGCGGCCCGGAACCAGGCGCCCGCCGGAGGACCCAAACUCUUGCUUUAAACAGUGGCAUACUCUCUGAGUCUCACAAACAAAAAAUAAACCAAAACUUUCAACAAUGGAUCUCUAGAUCGGAAGAGCACA